AUUGAACGCUGGCGGCAUGCCUUACACAUGCAAGUCGAACGGCAGCACGGGGGCAACCCUGGUGGCGAGUGGCGAACGGGUGAGUAAUACAUCGGAACGUGCCCCGUAGCGGGGGACAACCAGUCGAAAGACUGGCUAAUACCGCAUACGCUCCACGGAGGAAAGCAGGGGAUCGCAAGACCUUGCACUAUGGGGAGCGGCCGAUGCCCGAUUAGCUAGUUGGUGAGGAAAGGCUCACCAAGGCAACGAUCGGUAGCUGGUCUGAGAGGACGACCAGCCACACUGGGACUGAGACACGGCCCAGACUCCUACGGGAGGCAGCAGUGGGGAAUUUUGGACAAUGGGGCAACCCUGAUCCAGCCAUGCCGCGUGAGUGAAGAAGGCCUGGUGUAAG
RNAcentral lists this ribosomal RNA (394 nucleotides) under uncultured bacterium. RNAcentral describes it as "bacterial SSU rRNA". It matches the Rfam family "Bacterial small subunit ribosomal RNA", at positions 29 to 429 of the family's 1533-position model. The record is from RNAcentral.